RNAcentral lists this ribosomal RNA (477 nucleotides) under uncultured organism. RNAcentral's name for it is "partial 16S ribosomal RNA". It matches the Rfam family "Bacterial small subunit ribosomal RNA", at positions 332 to 800 of the family's 1533-position model. The record is from RNAcentral.
UACACUCCUGCGGGAGGCAGCAGUGGGGAAUAUUGCCCAAUGGGCGCAAGCCUGAUGCAGCCAUGCCGCGUGUAUGAAGAAGGCCUUCGGGUUGUAAAGUACUUUCAGCGGGGAGGAAGGCGAUAAGGUUAAUAACCUUGUUGAUUGACGUUACCCGCAGAAGAAGCACCGGCUAACUCCGUGCCAGCAGCCGCGGUAAUACGGAGGGUGCAAGCGUUAAUCGGAAUUACUGGGCGUAAAGCGCACGCAGGCGGUCUGUCAAGUCGGAUGUGAAAUCCCCGGGCUCAACCUGGGAACUGCAUUCGAAACUGGCAGGCUAGAGUCUUGUAGAGGGGGGUAGAAUUCCAGGUGUAGCGGUGAAAUGCGUAGAGAUCUGGAGGAAUACCGGUGGCGAAGGCGGCCCCCUGGACAAAGACUGACGCUCAGGUGCGAAAGCGUGGGGAGCAAACAGGAUUAGAAACCCCUGUAGUCCCAUGA